This 10074-nucleotide long non-coding RNA is filed under the name Homo sapiens (human). RNAcentral's name for it is "HSALNT0135843". Lineage: Eukaryota; Metazoa; Chordata; Mammalia; Primates; Hominidae. The record is from RNAcentral.
CAAAGUGCUGGGAUUACAGGCGUGAGCCAUUGCGCCUGGCCUCUCUGUCUUCUUAUACACAUACUUGGGACAAAAACUGUGUCUUAAUCUCUGAUGCUCAGCCCAAUAACUGAUUCAUAGAAGGUAUUUAAUAAAGUAUAACUACAUAAAUGCAUAAUUAAUUACUCAGGCUUUCCUCAUUUUGCAGAAGACUUUAUUUUAAAUACUGAGCUCUCCUAAGACCUUUCUUUGAGUUUCAUGUUAUGAUGUACCAGUCACCCCAGUCUGCUAUUGUUUUAGCAUUAAAAGUCUUGCCUCUCGGGUACAGUGGCUCAUGCCUGUAAUCCCAGACUUUGGGAGGCUGACGAGGGUGGAUCACUUGAGGCCAGGAGUUUGAGACCAGCCUGGCCAAUUCUGUCUCUAUUAAAAAUACAAAAAUUAGUCAGGCGUUGUGGCGGGCACCUGUAGUCCCAGCUACUUAGGAGGCUGAAGCAUGAGAAUCGCUUGAACCCAGGAGGCAGAGGUUGCAGUGAGCUGAGUUGUGCCACUGCACUCCAGCCUGGGUGAUAGAGUGAGACACACUGUCUCAAAAGAAAAAAUUCUUGCCUCUCCGGAAUGUAGCCCCUCAGUCCUGGGAAAACUGGGAUGGUUAGUCACCUUAUAGCUUCUCAAAGUGAAUCUGAAUGCUUAAAAUGAGAACAAAAUAUUGUGACUUGAAAUUAUACUUUUAAAGUUGUAAGGCUGAUGUCAGUUGGAAUUAGUCAAAUGAGUAUAAUUAAAUCACGAAGUUCAUUAACAUGUUUUUUAAGCUGGGCACAGAGGUAUUUUAUAAUGAUUAUACAUUUCAUUUUAUUUUCCUGUGGAAAUGUGUCCUUGCUUUGUAAAAAAUAGCUUUUCAAGACUUGUUUUGGUUGACUCUUGAUUCACAGGAGGUCGAGAAGGCAAAAUUGAAUUUUAAAAUGCUGUUUCUCCUUGGCAUUACACCCAACCAGAUAAAAAGUAGAACACUGACUUAAGAAGCCAGCUGGGUGUCUGAAUAAUGCCACACAGCACAUACUUGACAGAGUUACCUCCAUUUUGUGUUAAUCAUUUCUAAGGAAAAAAAAAAUAGGCUUAAUUUCAUUGGAGCAAACUGAUAGAAUAAAGUAACAGGUUUUUUUUUUUUUUUGACAGUGGUUAUUCAUAACCUCACUUUCCCUUCUAUAAACCCCAAUUUCAAUACCUUCCUCUGUUUGUCAGCAAAGUGUUUUUCAAUAUUGCAACAGGAUAUUAUGCAAAUAUAAAUCACACUGGAUUGGACUAUUUCCUUAGCAGCAAAAGCAAUGUUCUUGCUGGGAUGAUAAGUGUAAAUGUCUCUAAUUAUCCUUUACUACACAGCAGUCUGAGGAAAAAAUCAGGCUACAAAUAGAAAAAUGAGCUAGACUGUAUAUGUUGAAAAAUAGAUUGUUAAUUUAAUUCAUAAAGAACAAAACAGUUAAUUACUUUAUAGGACAAACUUUCUUGGUCUUUUCUGAUUUCAGAUGUAUAUGUAUGUGAUAUAAUUAUCUGUAUCUUUCACAUAGCUUACAGAUUCCAACAAAAUCAUGAUUCUUGCAUAAUUAAGAAACAAUGCUGAGAUAGAAAAGUCAGCCAGACACGGUGGCUCAUGCCUAUAAUCCCAGUACUUUGGGAGGCCAUGGCGGGUGGAUCACCUGAAAGACUAGCCUGGCCAACAUGGCGAAACCCUUUCUCUACUAAAAAUACAAAAAAUCAGCUGGGCGUGGUGGUGCAUGCCUGUAGUCCCAGCUACUCAGGAGGCUGAGGCAGAAAAAUUGCUUGAACCCGGGAAGCAGAGGUUGCAGUGAACCAAGAUCAUGCCACUGCACUCCAGCCUUGGAGACAAAGUGAGACUCAGUCUCAAAAAAAAAAAAAAUAAUAAAUAAAUAAAAAAUAAGAAAAAGUCGUAAGUCAAUACCAUAGAUGAGGCGCUGAGAUGAACACCAAUGCAGAAUGACUGUAAAUGUCAUCUGUUUAUUCUGCUUCUUUCUAUUUUUAAAUAAAAAGAUGGAAGGUAAGAUGUAAUGCUUAGUUUCAAAAUUUUAAAGAGAUAAUUGAAAUGUACCUAUUAGGUCCUUAUAUCUUCAUGGAUCUGUCAGUUUAAGGAAAUGUUUUGGCAGUCAAGGCAAAAUAAGGGAUGCAGAAAACUAUAUGAUGUGCUCAUGUGUAUUGUCCACUUCCACUGCAGUACGUAUUUUGUUCUUUUUUCUAAGUACGAAUAAGGAGAUUUUGCUGACUUUUCAGAAGUAGCCAAAAACGUUUCCUUGUUCCUAAAAUCAUUAACAACAAUAGCUAACAUAGAUCAAGUGCUUACUAUAUGCCAAGCUAACCAUGUGUAGGAGGGACUUACUAUUAUUAUACCAAUUUUAGAAAUUUAAACAACAAACAAAGAAACCCUCAGACUUCACUUAACUUGAUUGUUCAGGGAUUCACAGCUGGUAAAUGGAAAAACCAGCUUUGAAGCUCCUGGUGCCUGAACAAAGCCCAUGUGCUCUACCAAGUCCUCUCUACUAGGAAGGACUUCAUAUGCAUCUAUAGGAAGCUCUGUGUCCACAUUUUAUGCUGACACAGAUCCUGAGACUGGUAUAAGAUUGGGAUAUUCUUUUCGUUUGUGAGCAGAUUUAUAAUGUGUGUAUUUUUCAAAAAAAGUCUUAACAUUAUCCCCAACUAUCUCAUAUUAAAUUAUGGUGUCUCACACAUGAGAUAAAUUUGUAACAGAUUUCUCACUUAUGCAUAAUUAACCAGCCUUUCACAAAAUAUUUAUAGGUAGUUUAGUAUAGAAAGAAAGACUUUAGGAUCAUUACCAUCAGUAACUUAGAUGGCUGUAGACAACCAUUUGUCAUUGACACCUAAUACAUCCUAUCCUAUAGAUCAUGAAAUGUCCUACUUAUUUUCUAUCUAAUCUCACUUGGUAACUGCACUGGUUCUUCCCACAACUUACUCUCUUACAUGCACUGUUGCUUCUUAUAGAUUUAUUUAUAGGCACAUAACAUCCUUUCAGUCAUUUCAGUUAAGUAGUCUCUAUAAAAAAUAAGUUGUGCUGAAUUGCUUCAAUAAACCUUAGCUACCUUGUGGUAGAGAGACCUUUUGGCUUCAUAAGUUGGUCAAAUUAAUGACUUUAAAAAAUCAUAUGAGUAUGUGCUACAUUCUAAGAUUCUCUAUAGUCUAAAUUCUUUCUAGGAUGAUCGGAAGAAAUCCAAGGUAGAAUUGUACAUCUGCAGGUAAGAUUUGAGGUUUAGUCUGUAAAUUAUUUAAUUUGUACCUCAGUGUUUUUGUUUUUUAACUCUUACUCUAAACAGUGUCUGUUUAUUUGUUUUGGUUUUUUUCCCUUUUUAAAAAAAUUUCUGGUUAAACCUGGAGUAAAAUAAACAUCCAAACAAACAUCAGAGGUAGUGUGGGAGAGAAAAAAGUAUAAUAAAUGCAUUUAGUCUAAUAGAAAGAAGAAAGUCAGACACAAAAUAAGAAACGACUGAGCAAGGUUACAUUGUAUAGUUCCCUUUCUCCAAUAUGUAGCCACUAGCCAGAUGUGGCUACUGAGCAUUUGAAUUAUGGGUAAUUUAUUUAUUUAUUUUUAAAUUUUAUUUUUUGAGUUGAAGUCUUUCUCUGUCGCCCAUGCUGGAGUGCAGUGGUGUGAACUUACUUCACUGAAACACCUGCCUCCCGGGUUCAAGUGAUUCUCCUGCCUCAGCCUCCUGAGUAGCUGGGACUACAGGCGUGCGCCACUUUGCCUGGCUUAUUUUUUGUAUGUUUAGUAGAGACUGGGUUUCACCAUGUUGGCCAGGCUGGUCUUGAACUCCCAACCUCAGGUGAUCUGCCUGCCUCGACCUCCCAAAAAGCUCGGAUUACUGGUGUGAGCCACCACGCCUGGCCGAAUUAUGGGUAAUUUAAAUUACUAUGACAUUGGGUUUUGAAGAUUUAUUAUAGAAGAAAAAAUGUUAAUUAUCUCAUUAACAAAUAACAGUAAUUAUUUACAUUGAUUUCACAUCGAAAAUAUUUUGGAUAAUUUUGUUGAACAUUUUUGAAGACUUCUUAAAUAUAAAACAUUAUAGCACAUAGAUGGCCAACAUAAUAUUUCUGUUGAAUGAUGCUGAUGUAAAGCAAGAGAAAAGAGAUUUUUCAACCUUCAUGAUCAAAGAAAGCUUAACAGAGGAAAUGCUGGAGAAGGACACUGUAUAAGAUGCCUGUGAUACAGGAAGGAAAACCUCACUUCCGAGGACCCUUCACCGAAUUGGAAAAACAUACCCAAUCCUGUCAUCCUGAGAUGAACAGUUUCAUCCUGCUCAUCCUUAGAUGAACAGAUUCCAGAUAAUUGCGCUACUUCAGCUUAAAUCUGGAAUAAUUGGAUUCUGAAUUGGAUUGGACACAUGGAACAGAUAUGAACCAAAGCCAACCCAGCCUCGUUGAGCCAGAGCCCACCUGCAGAAUGUGAGCAGAAGAGAAAUGUUUGAGAGAUGCUCAUUAUGCAGCAUUAUUUCAACAAAACCUGACUAAUACACAUACACAAUAUGAUUUAUCUUCACAACAAGUUGAUGAAGAAGGUACUGCUAGCCUCAUUUCAAACAAGGAAAAUGAGGUACAGAGAGAUUAAAAUACUCAAAGUCACACAGCUAAUAAAUGGUGGGAACCUGAUUAGAACUCAAGAGAUUCUGAGUCCAAAUCUAGAUAAUAUUGACCCUGAAAUGAAACUGUAACUGCCCAGUGGGUUCACCUUGCUGGCUUCCUAGACAGAGCUGAUUUCUCAAGACAGGGGCAUUGCAAUAGAGAAAACAGUAAUUCACGCAGAGCUGGCUGUGUGGGAGACCAGAGUUUUAUUUAUUACUCAAAACAGUCUCCCUGAGCAUUCUGGGAUCAGAGUUUUUAAGAACAACUUGGUAGGUGGGGAAGCCAGUGAGCCAGGAGUGCUGACUGGUUAAGUAGGAGAUGAAAUAAUGGUAAGUUGAAGCUGUCCUCUUGUGCUGAGUCAGUUCCUUAGUGGGGGCCACAAGAUCAUGAGCCAGUUUAUAGAUCUGGGUGGUGCCAGCUGAUGCAUCAAGUGCAGGGUCUGCACUGAGCUUAGGAGCAGUUUAGGGAGGAUAAGAAUCUUGUAGUCUCCAGCUGCGUAACUCCUAAACCAUAAUUUCUAAUCUUGUGCCUAAUUUAUUAGUCCUACAAAAGCAGUCUAAUCCCCAGGCAAGAAGAAGGUUUGUUUUGGGAAAGGGCUGUUAUCAUCUUUGUUUUAAACUGUGAACUAAGUUCCUCUCAAAGUUAGUUCAGCCUAUGCCCAGGAAUGAACAGGGACAAUUUGGAGUUUAGAAGCAAGAUGGAGCUGGUUAGGUCAGCUCAGUUAUAAUUAUGUAAUGGCAGUUUCAAAACUUACUUUUAUUUUACACAUAAUGAACAUAAUUUUUAUAUUAUACUGUAGAAUAUUUACUUGGGAUUUGCAUGUUUGCUUUGUUCUGAAAGUUAUGGAUUCUACUCAACCAAGGUAUAAGUUUCUUGAAAGUUGGGUCCUAGCCUGAUGCCACUUUGCAUUCACUGCAGUAUGGAGCUUAGCACUUAUUUUGUGUGCUGUUGACUCGCAGAAAAGGUUUGAAGAUUGACAGAUUGAUGCGAUGACAUUUUAUCAUAUAUUCACUAUUCAUAUAACAUAACAGACAUCGUGAUCGCCAAACAAAUUAGUCUUUGUGUUUAUGCUUAAGGGCUUAGUCUGAAUAAGAAUAGCUCUCCUCACCCUGGGCUCUUCCUCUCUCCUGUUUCCAGAUCUGAGUAAAGAGAUCUUAGUUGAUGGCUUUGGUUCAGGACUCUUGGUUCAUUCAUGGCUUGUACUACCUGCUGUCCUCUGGAGGAUCUGAGGGGCACUGUGUUUUGUGCUUUUGUGUAAGGAACAGCAAAAAGCAUGCAAAGGCACAGCAACAGAGCUAUAUUUUAAAGAAAUACAGAUCCAGAAUCCACUUAUUUUAAAAUUCUAAACAAAUGAGCAGUAAAUAAUGUGAUGAAAAUGGGGCUUUCCUGCAACUAACACCAUGGUUCCCUGUAGCCUUUGUCUCUAAGAUAUCAAACCUUUGAAGCAAAGAAUUAUUUCAGAUGUUAGCACACUUUUUUUCCUCUUAAAAUUAUGGAAUUCCCCAUUCAAAAAUUUGCCAAAAUUGAAGAAACAGGUUAACUAUCUAUAGUUCAAAGAAAAAUUAUAUUCUGGUAAUUUUUUUCUUUAUUAUUUUUAAAAUUAUGGCAAACUGUGUAGUGAUUAUACCUUCACUGGUAUUGUUUAUUUCUCAAGCUACUACUCAGUGUCCUGCAUUUCAGACUGAAGGAUCUUUGUAGCAUUUUUUAUAGGGCAGGUCCAUCAGCUACAAACACCCUGAGCUUUAUUUAUCUAGGAAAGACUAAAUUCCUCCUUCCUCUUGGAAGGACAGUUUUACUGGAUAAAGAAUUCUUGAUUGAAGUUUCUGUUGGUUUUUUUGUUUGUUUUGUUGUCCUUUCAGCACUUUUAGUAUUCCAUGUCUGUCCUUCAUGAUGAGAAAUCAAACUGCUAAUCUUAGUGAGCAGGUAAUGUUUGCAUUGACACACUUCAGACAGCCUGUCUUGUUAAAAAUGUAUUAAGGUGAAAAUGAAGGAGACAGAUAAAAGGAGUUACUGAUAGAGAAACCAGGGUUUCAUUGGAUCAUAGAAUCUCUAGGCUAAAAGGAAUGUGAAAGGUUAUUUGUCCAACUGUAAACACAUCAGACCAAUCUGCUUCAACUGUUAUGUAACAGAGUUGUGAGUUGUUUUUCAGUUGCCAUGGACCCCUAGGUUGAAGACCACAGAAGCUAAGCAUGCCCCAGUGAACCACGUAUGCAACUCUGAGUAGAGCUUAAGUACUUGAACCAAGAAGCGGGGGCUGAAUUAAGAAGCAGAGAACACAUGGCAGGAUCCAGAAUUCAAUCAGAUUGAGCCCUGGUGUCACCCCAUGGCAGGAUACAGUCAGAUCAUGACUCCUAGCAUCACCUCAUUGCAAGAUUCAAUCAGAUCACAUCUCAUUACCCUAUGCUUAUAAAACACAACCUAGUCCCAGCUCUGGGAGACAGAUUUGAGCAUUUCCUCCCAUUUCCUUGUGAGUCGACUCACAGUAAGCUUUUCUCACUGCAAAAACCCAGUGCUUCAGUGUUUGGCUUUCCAUUGUGCAGUCAAAUGGAUCCAGUUUGAUUCAGUGACACAACCACUGUGACUAAAGGUAUAUGAACUUUCAAAAUAUACUCAAACGUUCUAGUGAUAUAUUGAAUAAUUGUUAGGAUUCAGGAUGUAAAUCUGAAUUAGUUGUAUAUAAGGAAGAUUGUACAUUAUCAGGAUUUGAUUACUUCUGCUUUGUAGGCUGCCAAAUUUGUUUCAGGGCAACCAGUGAGAAAGUCUACAAAACCAGAAAAUACCCAUGGCAUUCCUAUCUUAACCAGAGCCAUAGCAGACAUCAGUAAUCAACCACGGCAUUUUCCCACAGAGCUCAUAUUUAGCUUUAUAAUCCUUCUCAAAACAGAUUUUCCACCUUCCUACCACAUCCCUAAGAGUUUAUCUAUAAAAUGGAGAGUGACAAUCUGUGGGCAUUUGAGAUCUCCCUACCACCCUCUCAGCCUCAUAUACACUUUUUCCCACUAGCAAUGCAAGAGAUCAGGUUGUGAUGUUGGCUCUUAGAUCCACCUGAUUCGUCUCAAGCCUCCUUCCUUCCUUGUCGUGUAUCUGCACUUACCAAAGAGCAAGGACUAAUUCAGAAUAGCACAGAAAUCAAUAGAGAAGUUGCCUAUAAUCAUGUUUCUCAUUAUUUUCACAUUUUAUUAACCAAUUUCUGUUUACCCUGAAAAAUAUGAGGGAAAUAUAUGAAACAGGGAGGCAAUGUUCAGAUAAUUGAUCACAAGAUAUGAUUUCUACAUCAGAUGCUCUUUCCUUUCCUGUUUAUUUCCUUUUUAUUUUGGUUGUGGGGUUGAAUGUAAUAGCUUUGUUUCAAGAGAGAGUUUUGGCAGUUUCUGUAGCUUCUGACACUGCUCAUGUCUCCAGGCAUCUAUUUGCACUUUAGGAGGUGUCGUGGGAGACUGAGAGGUCUAUUUUUUCCAUAUUUGGGCAACUAGAUGGAGAGAUAGCCCUAAGGAGAGAAACAGGUAAGCAGCAGAGAUAGAGGAGAAGCUGCUAAAUUUUAUCUCCACCUAGCCAGCAUCAAAGAGCUUAACCCUUUGACAACUUGUAGAGCACAAAGUAUUUAACUGCAUGGAGGAUUCAGUACUCUCAGUAUUUAUAAUUUCCAAGCAGAAAUGUGGGGCAAGGUAGAGGCUAUGAUGAAGGCAGGAUAGAUAAAGAGUAGUUACACAGAAAAUAUUUUUCUUAAAUUUGUACUCCACUUUUUUUUUCAAUGGGAUGCAAAAAGUACAUGUGACUAAACACAGUAUUGAAUUUGUUUCUCUAAGAUCCUAAACUUUUCCAGAAUAAAUUUAUAUAGAGCAAAUUUUUUUAUCAUAGCUAUAGAAGGCAUCUUAGAAUUCAUCUAAAGCAGUCCAUUCAAUUUUUCAGAUAGGAGCCCAAGGCUUCCAAUUAAAUGAUUUGCCUCAAAUCACAGGGUUGUAGGCUGGCCUGAAACUGACUCCCAGAUAGACUUUUCCAACUGUGACUUUUCAUCUGAACAAGAGAAAAUAAGACAUAAUAUUUAUGAUUAUUUACUCAAAUCUCCCAAGGACAGUAUAUAGAUAUUACCACUGUAAAGAAUAGGGGAGAAGUUAAUUCAUAAUAUUCAGUGAUGCCUCAGGACCCUGGUUGAGAAAGCCUGUACUAGCACGUUAUCACUAUCUGGCUUCCACAAACUAUUUGGGGACUGAUUUAUUACAUGAAGGCCACAGCGAGUUUAUAAGAGUUCUACAAUUAAAGUGUAAAGCUUACUGAUUUGGGCUGUUAGCAGAUUUAGGGCUAUGGAAACACAGCCUGUUUCAUCUGUGACCUUGAGUUAUGAUUAAUUUUAGAUAAGCAGUGGAUAAUACAUUUAAGGGAAAUCACCUUUGAGCCACCUUGAAAAAGAAGCAUAAAUUUCACUUGUGUUCUAAUUCGUUGUAAUAAUGGCUUUGCCAUAAAAUGUCUCCUAAAUAGCUUGAGACUGAAAAUGCUGGCUAAUAAAAGCAUAUUGUGUGCUUAUUAGAGAAGAGCAAAAAUGCCACAAAAUUGAACAGUUAACCUGCAAAUAAUUGUCAAGAACUUGCUUCCUAAAGGAAUUUGCUCUUUCCCUGGGUGGUCAUCCAAAACCAAAGGUGUAUGGGAGCAGAAAUCCCUUCCUCUUAGACCGUAGUGGUGAUGCUUAAGGAUCAGUCAGAGAUAAACAUAAUCAGAAAAACACCCAGGAGCUGACUGACUGCAGGAGGCAGAAUUCACUUGUGGUCGGGACCAGGCAGCAACUUAGAUUCAUCACUUUACGGACAAAUGAUGACUUAUUUGUUAUUUUUCUCGUAGUCUGUCCAUGGAUAAUUAAAUAUUUGUAGGUGGAAGAAAUAGUAGCACUCACUGAAAGGAAUCCACCAUCCUUUAUGUAUGAUGCCACUAUUACGGGAAGAGAUGACCUUGAUUUUUGAUGCCCUCACCAAUACAAGCUUUUAAUUUAGAACUACUUGUUUUAACCCAAAUGGCAUGGCAUGUUAGAAGGGCUCGGGUCCCCCAUGAAGAUAUGCUAUUGUGGAGUUUGAUGGAACCUGAGUACAUUUCAGGUCUAAGAAUGCUGAGGCACUGGGCAUUUCACUUGUCUGAAAUGAGAAACUGAAACCAGGAAUGAGGAUCAAGGUCACAAAAUUAGAUCAUAAGUCUGUGUAGUACAGUGGCUGUCACUCCUUUGCCAACCUCUGUAAUAAAGGCUGAGAAAACCAACACAUGGUGCCUUGCCCGCCCACUCUGCAGUGAGAGGUGAGCAUGUCACACUGUUUUGAUUAAUGAAACAAAAAAAGAAAAUGCUUAGAAUUGGUUUUUGCUUUCCUAAUUAGAAAAUGUCAAAGGUGGCUGAAUAUGGCCCUUUCUUUUCUCACUGCCUUGAAUGUGGAGGCAAUGUUUUUGAAGAGGAAACAGACAUCUAUUAUUCAUGAAGGGAAG